Molecule: ribosomal RNA, 234 nt
Filed under: uncultured bacterium
Lineage: Bacteria
Description: partial 16S ribosomal RNA
Rfam family: Bacterial small subunit ribosomal RNA
Source: RNAcentral
GAUCCUGGCUUAGGAUGAACGCUAGCUACAGGCUUAACACAUGCAAGUCGAGGGGCAGCAUGGUCUUAGCUUGCUAAGGCCGAUGGCGACCGGCGCACGGGUGAGUAACGCGUAUCCAACCUGCCUUACACUCUUGGACAGCCUUCUGAAAGGGAGAUUAAUACAAGAUGUUAUCAUGAGUAAGCAUUUUCGCAUGAUUAAAGGUUUACCGGCGUAAGAUGGGGAUGCGUUCCA